GACGAACGCUGGCGGCGUGCUUAACACAUGCAAGUCGAACGCUGAAGCCGGAGCUUGCUCUGGUGAAUUAGUGGCGAACGGGUGAGUAACACGUGAGUAACCUGCCCUUGACUCUGGGAUAACUGCUAGAAAUGGUAGCUAAUACCGGAUACGACCCUCGGCGGCAUCGCCAGGGGGUGGAAAGAAUUUCGGUCAAGGAUGGACUCGCGGCCUAUCAGCUAGUUGGUGAGGUAACGGCUCACCAAGGCGACGACGGGUAGCCGGCCUGAGAGGGUGACCGGCCACACUGGGACUGAGACACGGCCCAGACUCCUACGGGAGGCAGCAGUGGGGAAUAUUGCACAAUGGGCGCAAGCCUGAUGCAGCAACGCCGCGUGAGGGAUGACGGCCUUCGGGUUGUAAACUCCUUUUGCAAGGGACGAAUGUAAUGACGGUACCUUGCGAAUAAGAGGUUGCUAACUCUGUGCCAGCAGCCGCAGUAA
Molecule: ribosomal RNA, 482 nt
Filed under: uncultured bacterium
Lineage: Bacteria
Description: partial 16S ribosomal RNA
Rfam family: Bacterial small subunit ribosomal RNA
Source: RNAcentral